AGGGCUGUGCUUGCAGAGUUCACGUCUCCAGCUCUCUGCUGAGGCAGUUUCUCUGAUCGCGCAGAGCUAGAUGCCAGGAGCGGGACCUGGCGUGCUCUUUCCUGAGCACGAAGCCAGCUCUCAGAGGGGCUUUGUUGCACCUGCCAUUCGGCAUUGAUGAAGAUCUUCUUUUCCUCCGGGAGAGUAAGAAGAGGACACAGUCCAAGUGGU
Small nucleolar RNA from Callithrix jacchus (white-tufted-ear marmoset), 210 nucleotides. Its record names the gene U3. It matches the Rfam family "Small nucleolar RNA U3". From Rfam's summary of the family: Small nucleolar RNAs (snoRNAs) are involved in the processing and modification of rRNA in the nucleolus. There are two main classes of snoRNAs: the box C/D class, and the box H/ACA class. The record is from Ensembl. NCBI's taxonomy places the organism in Eukaryota, Metazoa, Chordata, Mammalia, Primates, Cebidae.